This 253-nucleotide ribosomal RNA is filed under the name uncultured bacterium. Its description in RNAcentral is "partial 16S ribosomal RNA". It matches the Rfam family "Bacterial small subunit ribosomal RNA", at positions 524 to 776 of the family's 1533-position model. The record is from RNAcentral.
UACGUAGGGGGCAAGCGUUGUCCGGAUUCAUUGGGCGUAAAGAGCGUGUAGGCGGCCUGAAAGGUCAGCUGUGAAAACUCGAGGCUCAACCUCGAGACGUCGGUUGAAACCGUAUGGCUAGAGUCCGGAAGAGGAGAGUGGAAUUCCCGGUGUAGCGGUGAAAUGCGCAGAUAUCGGGAAGAACACCCAUGGCGAAGGCAGCUCUCUGGGACGGUACUGACGCUGAGACGCGAAAGCGUGGGGAGCAAACAGG